UACGUAGGGUGCGAGCGUUAAUCGGAAUUACUGGGCGUAAAGCGUGCGCAGGCGGUUUUGUAAGCCAGAUGUGAAAUCCCCGGGCUUAACCUGGGAACUGCAUUUAGGACUGCAAGGCUUGAGUACGGCAGAGGGGGGUAGAAUUCCUGGUGUAGCAGUGAAAUGCGUAGAUAUCGGGAGGAAUACCGAUGGCGAAGGCAGGUCUCUGGGCUGACACUGACGCUCAUGCACGAAAGCGUGGGGAGCAAACAGG
Molecule: ribosomal RNA, 253 nt
Filed under: uncultured bacterium
Lineage: Bacteria
Description: partial 16S ribosomal RNA
Rfam family: Bacterial small subunit ribosomal RNA
Source: RNAcentral